GUGAGGAAUAUUGCGCAAUGGAGGCAACUCUGACGCAGCCAUGCCGCGUGCAGGAAGAAGGCGCUACGCGUUGUAAACUGCUUUUAACCGGGAAGAAACCCCAGGACGUGUCCUGGGUUGACGGUACCGGAGGAAUAAGCACCGGCUAACUUCGUGCCAGCAGCCGCGGUAAUACGAAGGGUGCAAGCGUUAUCCGGAUUCAUUGGGUUUAAAGGGUGCGUAGGCGGAGCGUUUAGUCAGUGGUGAAAUCCUGCAGCUUAACUGUAGACUUGCCAUUGAUACUGGCGCUCUUGAGUGCGCUUGAAGUGGGCGGAAUGUGCCGUGUAGCGGUGAAAUGCUUAGAUAUGGCACAGAACACCAAUUGCGAAGGCAGCUCACUAAGGCGAUACUGACGCUGAGGCACGAAAGCGUGGGGAUCGAACAGGAUUAGAAACCCGGGUAGUCC
RNAcentral lists this ribosomal RNA (445 nucleotides) under uncultured bacterium. RNAcentral describes it as "bacterial SSU rRNA". It matches the Rfam family "Bacterial small subunit ribosomal RNA", at positions 354 to 796 of the family's 1533-position model. The record is from RNAcentral.